Callithrix jacchus (white-tufted-ear marmoset) is the source of this 975-nucleotide non-coding RNA. The record is from RefSeq and is a predicted model, not a curated record. NCBI's taxonomy places the organism in Eukaryota, Metazoa, Chordata, Mammalia, Primates, Cebidae.
CAGAGUUCCAAACAGUUGGCAGUAGCUGAGCUAGCAAUGAGAUUAGAGGAGAGGAAAGGCUGAUGCUUCAGCCUUGGUUAAGGCUAAGUUAGAAAAAACAAAAGGGAAGAGUCAAUUAAAAAAAAUGACAAAGUAAAAAGAAAAAAAUCCAGGAUAUUAUAGUGUGUUAGAAGGCAUGAGAGCAGAUAAUUUCAAGAAGUGAGGCAUUAGACACUGUCAAGGGCUGUAGCAACAUGAAGGCCUAGUGUCAACAGAACAAAGGAGAUGGGGGAAAAACUGACCAGGAAGAUAGCCAGCGUGGGAGUCUCAAGAAGAAAGACUUCUCCUGCUACUGGACAACAGGAGUUGGAAUUCCUUGCCCUAAAUAGAAGCCACCAGUUUUGGCCACUAUCAUCUGGAGCCAGGGCUCCAGCAGAGUAGAAGAUUUAUUUAAGGGCUGAUGAAGACAGAGACUGGGUCUGAGAGGUGAAAGUGUGGGAUGGGGUCUCGGAAGUUAGGAAUCGACAAAAGUCUCCUGCCAGGGUACACCUCAGUCCUCACUCCUUGGUCUAGCCUGUGCACCAUUAUUCUUUUCUUCCAACAGCCCUGGGAUUAUUUUGAUUCCCCUCCAAUUGCUACCACUUAUUGCUUCUACCAAGGUUUCACUCUUCCUCCUAGUCCACUGCAUCACAGAACAGCAGUCUUGGCUUUUCUCCUUUGUUCCCAGGUCUGCUGUGAAGACCAAGCCAGAACCCUAGAUAUGGCUACUGAGUAAAUGGCAUGAGGGAUGAAGAUGCUACCAAAGAGACCAGUACCCUGGGCCUGAGAGAACCCCACCAAUAACAGAUGGCUUACUCUCCCCUUCUCUUUUCAGUAUUCUUUUCUUUCUGCUUUAUGAUCCUGUCAUUCAUACAUAUGUAAUAUGUAAUCUCUAAAGCCAACAUUAAAAGUUUACCGUAUACCAAGCAGUAUGACAAAUAAUUGUUUAGUGUGAUU